Enterovibrio coralii is the source of this 73-nucleotide transfer RNA. It matches the Rfam family "tRNA". From Rfam's summary of the family: Transfer RNA (tRNA) molecules are approximately 80 nucleotides in length. Their secondary structure includes four short double-helical elements and three loops (D, anti-codon, and T loops). Further hydrogen bonds mediate the characteristic L-shaped molecular structure. tRNAs have two regions of fundamental functional importance: the anti-codon, which is responsible for specific mRNA codon recognition, and the 3' end, to which the tRNAs corresponding amino acid is attached (by aminoacyl-tRNA synthetases). tRNAs cope with the degeneracy of the genetic code in two manners: having more than one tRNA (with a specific anti-codon) for a particular amino acid; and 'wobble' base-pairing, i.e. permitting non-standard base-pairing at the 3rd anti-codon position. NCBI's taxonomy places the organism in Bacteria, Pseudomonadati, Pseudomonadota, Gammaproteobacteria, Vibrionales, Vibrionaceae. The record is from Rfam.
GCGACACUAGCUCAGCUGGUAGAGCGCAACCUUGCCAAGGUUGAGGUCACGAGUUCGAACCUCGUGUGUCGCU